Molecule: ribosomal RNA, 446 nt
Filed under: uncultured bacterium
Lineage: Bacteria
Description: bacterial SSU rRNA
Rfam family: Bacterial small subunit ribosomal RNA
Source: RNAcentral
UACCAGACUCCUACGGGAGGCAGCAGUGGGGAAUAUUGCACAAUGGGGGAAACCCUGAUGCAGCGACGCCGCGUGAAGGAAGAAGUAUUUCGGUAUGUAAACUUCUAUCAGCAGGGAAGAAAAUGACGGUACCUGACUAAGAAGCCCCGGCUAACUACGUGCCAGCAGCCGCGGUAAUACGUAGGGGGCAAGCGUUAUCCGGAUUUACUGGGUGUAAAGGGAGCGUAGACGGCAUGGCAAGUCAGAUGUGAAAGCCCGGGGCUCAACCCCGGGACUGCAUUUGAAACUGUCAGGCUGGAGUGCAGGAGAGGUAAGUGGAAUUCCUAGUGUAGCGGUGAAAUGCGUAGAUAUUAGGAGGAACGCCAGUGGCGAAGGCGGCUUACUGGACUGUAACUGACGUUGAGGCUCGAAAGCGUGGGGAGCAAACAGGAGUAGAUACCCUCGUA